AAUCUUCCACCGUCUUCUUCUCCUUCGGUGGAUAGAGAAGCGACUGGAAUUAUAAGAAUCAGAAUCAGUAGGCUUGAGAGAGUGAGAGAGUGAGAGAGUGAAAAAAAACCCAUACUACCUCUAUGGAGAUUGUUUGCGCGUUCAAGACUGAUUGCUGCAUUUUGUAAGUUUUUGCCUUCUGAGUUCUGAGAUAUGCUUUUGGAGAAUUUGGUUACUGGCUUGAGCUUUUACUCUCAUGUAAAAGAAAAAUUGGUAACAUAAUGUUUCUUUCUCUCUUAGAGUCAGGGGAAGCAACUGAUCUUUUAAGUAAGGUUUAAUUACAUAGCUCAUUAUGUUGAUGGCUCAGAGAGGUUCUCAAUAAUAUUAGGGAAAAGAUUGUUUUUUUUUUUUAGUGGUGCCGAGCAUGGUCUUGUGUGUUUCUGUACUUUGAUUCUUCGUGGUGCCGAGUAUGGUUUUACUUUGUUGAUGCUUUUAUCAAUUAAAUCAGGAAGUCCUUGCUUUGUUGUUCAUAAUUCUAUUAAAACCUGAAGCACUUGAAGGAAGAAGCUUUACUGAUAUUCCAAAGCAGCUACUCCCACCAGAAUUUUGCUAUAAGUAGAUGAAAAGGGAUGUAGAAGCUGCGUUGAAAGUGAAAGGCGGGGUUUGUUAGAGCUGAAGGCCUAUAUGAUCUCGGUCAUUAUUGAUCCAUGUUUAGACAUUCAUCGAGGAUGGAUGAGUAGUGAUCGUUCUUGUUGCCCUUGGAGAACGUGUGAUUGGAAUCUCCCUAUCCUUAGAAUCCAUACAUUCCCAUGAUCCUCUUCCUCUACUGAAGAACCUAAAUGUUUUCCAUCCCUUUGAAGAGCUUCAGAGUCUCAACUUUUCGUCAGGAUACUGCAAAGGCUGGUUCGACGAAAGAAUAGGUGGUGAGGGCCAGGGAAGUUUCAGGAAAUCUUGAGACUCUGGAUCUCGGUAACAACUCUUAUGGUAGCAGACUAGCAGUGUCUUGCCAUACUUGAAGGAGGCUGUGUCGCUCAAGACUUUGAUUCUCCAAACUCCAUGACAACUUAUUUGACGGUGGCUUUCCUGUUUAAAGUUGGUACUCCUGAAAUUAUUAAUACUCACAUAACAAAAGCUGUAGUCAAUACAAUUUUAUGUGUACUCUCUGCAAAAGUUUAAAUGAAUGUAGAAACAAUCAGAGACUGAAUUGGAGAAUGAAUUGGUGUAUGAUUGUUAAAUUAAAA
This is a long non-coding RNA of Capsella rubella, 1220 nucleotides long. RefSeq lists it as uncharacterized. NCBI's taxonomy places the organism in Eukaryota, Viridiplantae, Streptophyta, Magnoliopsida, Brassicales, Brassicaceae. The transcript is spliced from 3 exons. The record is from RefSeq and is a predicted model, not a curated record.